RNAcentral lists this ribosomal RNA (417 nucleotides) under uncultured bacterium. RNAcentral's name for it is "bacterial SSU rRNA". It matches the Rfam family "Bacterial small subunit ribosomal RNA", at positions 358 to 773 of the family's 1533-position model. The record is from RNAcentral.
GGAAUAUUGGUCAAUGGAUGCAAGUCUGAACCAGCCAUGCCGCGUGCAGGAAGACGGCCCUCUGGGUUGUAAACUGCUUUUACCAGGGGCUAAAACUCUCUUGCGAGGCCGAUUGCAGGUACCUGGGGAAUAAGCCACGGCUAACUACGUGCCCGCAGCCGCGGUGAUACGUAGGUGGCUAGCGUUGUCCGGAUUUAUUGGGUUUAAAGGGUGCGUAGGCGGCCAGAUAAGUCAGUGCUGAAAUACCCCGGCUUAACCGGGGGGGUGGCAUUGAUACUGUUUGGCUUGAGUGAAGAUGAGGUAGGCGGAAUUGACGGUGUAGCGGUGAAAUGCAUAGAUAUCGUCAAGAACACCGAUAGCGAAGGCAGCUUACUAAGUUUUAACUGACGCUGAUGCACGAAAGUGUGGGGAUCAAAC